Molecule: ribosomal RNA, 478 nt
Filed under: uncultured bacterium
Lineage: Bacteria
Description: partial 16S ribosomal RNA
Rfam family: Bacterial small subunit ribosomal RNA
Source: RNAcentral
GACGAACGCUGGCGGCGUGCUUAACACAUGCAAGUCGAGCGAUGAAGCUUCUUCGGAAGUGGAUUAGCGGCGGACGGGUGAGUAACACGUGGGUAACCUGCCUCAUAGAGGGGAAUAGCCUUCCGAAAGGAAGAUUAAUACCGCAUAAGAUUGUAGCUUCGCAUGAAGCAGCAAUUAAAGGAGCAAUCCGCUAUGAGAUGGACCCGCGUCGCAUUAGCUAGUUGGUGAGGUAACGGCUCACCAAGGCGACGAUGCGUAGCCGACCUGAGAGGGUGAUCGGACGCAUUGGGACUGAGACACGGCCCAGACUCCUACGGGAGGCAGCAGUGGGGAAUAUUGCACAAUGGGGGAAACCCUGAUGCAGCAACGCCGCGUGAGUGAUGACGGUCUUCGGAUUGUAAAACUCUGUCUUCAGGGACGAUAAUGACGGUACCUGAGGAGGAAGCCACGGCUAACUACGUGCCAGCCGCCGCAGUAA